Molecule: non-coding RNA, 54 nt
Organism: Salmo salar (Atlantic salmon)
Lineage: Eukaryota; Metazoa; Chordata; Actinopteri; Salmoniformes; Salmonidae
Source: Rfam
UGAAUGUUUAUUUGUAAGUCGCUCUGGAUAAGAGUGUCUGCUAAAUGACUAAAA